AGAGCGAACGCUGGCGGCAGGCCUAACACAUGCAAGUCGAGCGCCCCGCAAGGGGAGCGGCAGACGGGAGAGUAACACGUGGGAACGUGCCCUUUGGUUCGGAACAACACAGGGAAACUUGUGCUAAUACCGGAUAAGCCCUUACGGGGAAAGAUUUAUCGCCAAAGGAUCGGCCCGCGUCUGAUUAGCUAGUUGGUGAGGUAACGGCUCACCAAGGCUACGAUCAGUAGCUGGUCUGAGAGGAUGAUCAGCCUCACUGGGACUGAGACACGGCCCAGACUCCUACGGGAGGCAGCAGUGGGGAAUAUUGGACAAUGGGCGCAAGCCUGAUCCAGCCAUGCCGCGUGGGUGAUGAAGGCCCUAGGGUUGUAAAGCUCUUUUGUGCGGGAAGAUAAUGACGGUACCGCAAGAAUAAGCCCCGGCUAACUUCGCGCCAGCAGCCGC
This 444-nucleotide ribosomal RNA is filed under the name uncultured bacterium. RNAcentral's name for it is "SSU rRNA". It matches the Rfam family "Bacterial small subunit ribosomal RNA", at positions 26 to 518 of the family's 1533-position model. The record is from RNAcentral.